This 1063-nucleotide ribosomal RNA is filed under the name Massilia sp. enrichment culture clone MRHull-S-04G. Its description in RNAcentral is "bacterial SSU rRNA". It matches the Rfam family "Bacterial small subunit ribosomal RNA", at positions 336 to 1397 of the family's 1533-position model. Lineage: Bacteria; Pseudomonadati; Pseudomonadota; Betaproteobacteria; Burkholderiales; Oxalobacteraceae. The record is from RNAcentral.
CUCCUACGGGAGGCAGCAGUGGGGAAUUUUGGACAAUGGGCGCAAGCCUGAUCCAGCAAUGCCGCGUGAGUGAAGAAGGCCUUCGGGUUGUAAAGCUCUUUUGUCAGGGAAGAAACGGUAGAGGCUAAUAUCCUUUGCUAAUGACGGUACCUGAAGAAUAAGCACCGGCUAACUACGUGCCAGCAGCCGCGGUAAUACGCAGGGUGCAAGCGUUAAUCGGAAUUACUGGGCGUAAAGCGUGCGCAGGCGGUUUUGUAAGUCUGACGUGAAAGCCCCGGGCUCAACCUGGGAAUUGCGUUGGAGACUGCAAGGCUUGAAUCUGGCAGAGGGGGGUAGAAUUCCACGUGUAGCAGUGAAAUGCGUAGAGAUGUGGAGGAACACCGAUGGCGAAGGCAGCCCCCUGGGUCAAGAUUGACGCUCAUGCACGAAAGCGUGGGGAGCAAACAGGAUUAGAUACCCUGGUAGUCCACGCCCUAAACGAUGUCUACUAGUUGUCGGGUUUUAAUUAACUUGGUAACGCAGCUAACGCGUGAAGUAGACCGCCUGGGGAGUACGGUCGCAAGAUUAAAACUCAAAGGAAUUGACGGGGACCCGCACAAGCGGUGGAUGAUGUGGAUUAAUUCGAUGCAACGCGAAAAACCUUACCUACCCUUGACAUGUCAGGAACCUCCGAGAGAUUGGAGGGUGCCCGAAAGGGAACCUGAACACAGGUGCUGCAUGGCUGUCGUCAGCUCGUGUCGCGAGAUGUUGGGUUAAGUCCCGCAACGAGCGCAACCCUUGUCAUUAGUUGCUACGCAAGAGCACUCUAAUGAGACUGCCGGUGACAAACCGGAGGAAGGUGGGGAUGACGUCAAGUCCUCAUGGCCCUUAUGGGUAGGGCUUCACACGUCAUACAAUGGUACAUACAGAGGGCCGCCAACCCGCGAGGGGGAGCUAAUCCCAGAAAGUGUAUCGUAGUCCGGAUCGUAGUCUGCAACUCGACUACGUGAAGUUGGAAUCGCUAGUAAUCGCGGAUCAGCAUGCCGCGGUGAAUACGUUCCCGGGUCUUGCACACACCGCCCGU